GGAGGAGUGGCCGAGAGGUCGAAGGCGGCGGUCUCGAAAACCGCUAGAGUGGCAACAUUCUCGGAGGUUCGAAUCCUCUCUCCUCCGCCA
Molecule: transfer RNA, 90 nt
Filed under: Pseudomonadota bacterium
Lineage: Bacteria; Pseudomonadati; Pseudomonadota
Description: Proteobacteria bacterium (freshwater metagenome) tRNA-Ser
Rfam family: tRNA
About the family: Transfer RNA (tRNA) molecules are approximately 80 nucleotides in length. Their secondary structure includes four short double-helical elements and three loops (D, anti-codon, and T loops). Further hydrogen bonds mediate the characteristic L-shaped molecular structure. tRNAs have two regions of fundamental functional importance: the anti-codon, which is responsible for specific mRNA codon recognition, and the 3' end, to which the tRNAs corresponding amino acid is attached (by aminoacyl-tRNA synthetases). tRNAs cope with the degeneracy of the genetic code in two manners: having more than one tRNA (with a specific anti-codon) for a particular amino acid; and 'wobble' base-pairing, i.e. permitting non-standard base-pairing at the 3rd anti-codon position.
Source: RNAcentral